This 989-nucleotide long non-coding RNA is filed under the name Felis catus (domestic cat). RNAcentral's name for it is "lncRNA (ENSFCAG00000043046.2)". Lineage: Eukaryota; Metazoa; Chordata; Mammalia; Carnivora; Felidae. The record is from RNAcentral.
GGUUGCCUCAGGACUGUUGCUUAACUAUCUACUUUUAAUAGAAAUCUGACCACUGUGGCCUUUCUUUGCAUCAACAAAGACAUACCAUUUCGUGAGCUACUGAUCCCUUGAAACAAGUGAAGGCUUUUAAUGGUCCCCUACAUGGUUGAGACUUUUUUUUUUUUUUUUUUUUGAGAUAAUGAAAAUCAAAGGCUGGAGGAGUUUGUGGAAACGGGGAGAAAUGUCCCUAUUCUCCCACAGCCCCUGGGUACAGAGCAAUGGUGGACACAGAAACGACAACAACUCUGACCAAGGAAAGCUGGUCUGAGUCCCUGCGUCCCUGUGCUGGGCUGACUGCUGGCCGGGCAGCCAAGGCUUGACGAUGUUGCUCAUCCGUUCAGCAAUGAUUCAUUGAGCACCUCUUCAGCAAUUCUGCAAUUUUGUAAGGUUUUUUAUGACGACAUCCAUUUCUGAUACUAUCUGUGAUCAUUUGGAAUCUAUACUGAAGCUGUUGUUUCAAAACAUCAGACUGACCCACGGGAUGAACUUCAGGUUGAGUCCUAUAAUGAAGAGAUUGUUGACUCUGAAAUUAUUCUAAAACAUGCAGAAGAAGGAAAGUGUCAUGUUGCUGGACCAAAAUGGAAGUUUCAUGGCCACCUCCCAAGGUGGACGGACACUAGCCAUCCCACACACCAGAGCUUGACCCUCCAUCACUCUGUUCAGUGGGUGAAGUCUGGAAGCUGGUUGAGGACAAAGGGACUCUGAGUUACACAUGUGAACUUUUCUUACAGCAGAAGAGUAUAAAGGGAUCAGCCAAAGUAAGGAUUCAAGAAAUCCACCUGCACUGAAUGGGGAAUUGAAUUCUUGCACACUCCAGAGUGGGAUGGAAGCACGAAAUUGCUUUAAACUAUUUUUACAACUGGUCAGCCAUUGUGCUAGGUCUGAGAUUUUCCCUAGUUCAUGAAAGGUUUUUAAUAAUUCUGCACAUUUUUGGAACCACUCAGGGUAAG